This 165-nucleotide unclassified non-coding RNA is filed under the name uncultured Ascomycota. Its description in RNAcentral is "sequence contains ITS1". Lineage: Eukaryota; Fungi; Ascomycota. The record is from RNAcentral.
CCGAGUUCAUGCCCUUACGGGUAGAUCUCCACCCUUGCAUACCUAAACUUGUUGCUUUGGCAGGCCGUCCGGUCGCCCGGCCGUCGGCUCUCCGCUGGCGCGUGCCUGCCGAAGACCCAACCAACCAAGUCUUAUCAGUGUCGUCAGAGUACUAUAUAAUAGUUA